AGUGAACGCUGGCGGUAGGCCUAACACAUGCAAGUCGAACGGCAGCACAGUAAGAGCUUGCUCUUACGGGUGGCGAGUGGCGGACGGGUGAGGAAUACAUCGGAAUCUACUUUUUCGUGGGGGAUAACGUAGGGAAACUUACGCUAAUACCGCAUACGACCUACGGGUGAAAGCAGGGGAUCUUCGGACCUUGCGCGAUUGAAUGAGCCGAUGUCGGAUUAGCUAGUUGGCGGGGUAAAGGCCCACCAAGGCGACGAUCCGUAGCUGGUCUGAGAGGAUGAUCAGCCACACUGGAACUGAGACACGGUCCAGACUCCUACGGGAGGCAGCAGUGGGGAAUAUUGGACAAUGGGCGCAAGCCUGAUCCAGCCAUACCGCGUGGGUGAAGAAGGCCUUCGGGUUGUAAAGCCCUUUUGUUGGGAAAGAAAAGCAGCAGGUUAAUACCCCGCUGUUCUGACGGUACCCAAAGUAUAAGCACCGGCUAACUUCGU
RNAcentral lists this ribosomal RNA (491 nucleotides) under uncultured bacterium. Its description in RNAcentral is "partial 16S ribosomal RNA". It matches the Rfam family "Bacterial small subunit ribosomal RNA", at positions 29 to 506 of the family's 1533-position model. The record is from RNAcentral.